This is a long non-coding RNA of Ahaetulla prasina, 688 nucleotides long. RefSeq lists it as uncharacterized. The record is from RefSeq and is a predicted model, not a curated record. Lineage: Eukaryota; Metazoa; Chordata; Lepidosauria; Squamata; Colubridae. The transcript is spliced from 3 exons.
UCAGCAUACUAAAGAAACAUUAGUUUAUAAUCAUUCCUGAGAAAGAAGGCGUUAAAAGCUCCAACGUCCACUGGCAAACCAACAAAUGAACUGGAAGAAGGGGGAAAAGUAUCUUGAGAGUAUUCCAUACAGCCACAACUACAUUUCUUCAGAACACACUCCCUGUGUUGCCCUCCCUGAUUUUAUUAUUCAUCAGUGCAAGAAAGGACAACUUUGGAGCAGGGUUGCUGGGUUGACCUAUUAAACAGUUGCCGAGAGGAUCUGAUGACUACUCAGGAGUUUCUAUACAUCAAAACACCCAAUUAAUAACAGGCUAUCGUACUGAAUUUUAAUGCUGUCCUUGCCGAAUGCUAGAAUGGAAUAUAACAUCUCACACAACGGAACUGAGAGCUUCUACAAUAGAACCAGUCUUCCAGAAGAUCAAGGCACAAUUCCUCUAGGCGUGUUUUUGAUGAUCACCAUAACUCUACUCAUCUGCCUUUGGGGACUUGUGGGGAAUGGAGGCACCAUCUGGCUCCUCGGGUUCCAAAUUAAGAGGAAUAAUUUCUCGACUUACUUCCUGAAUCUCUCCAUUGCUGAUUUUGGUUUGCUCAUAGGUCUCAGUGCCAUUGAUGUGUAUUGGCUUAUAGCCAAAGCUAAUCAUAUAGAAUAUAGCGAUCCACUAAAGACAUUAUUUCGCGGUCUCUUC